This 305-nucleotide ribosomal RNA is filed under the name uncultured bacterium. RNAcentral describes it as "bacterial SSU rRNA". It matches the Rfam family "Bacterial small subunit ribosomal RNA", at positions 333 to 654 of the family's 1533-position model. The record is from RNAcentral.
AUAAGCCUACGGGGGGCAGCAGUCGGGAAUAUUGCGCAAUGGAGGAAACUCUGACGCAGUGACGCCGCGUAUAGGAAGAAGGUCUUCGGAUUGUAAACUAUUGUCGUUAGGGAAGAGAAAGGACAGUACCUAAGGAGGAAGCUCCGGCUAACUACGUGCCAGCAGCCGCGGUAAUACGUAGGGGGCAAGCGUUAUCCGGAUUUACUGGGUGUAAAGGGAGCGUAGACGGCUGUGCAAGUCUGAAGUGAAAGCCCAGGGCUCAACCCUGGGACUGCUUUGGAAACUGUGGAGCUAGAGUGCUGGAG